Molecule: ribosomal RNA, 253 nt
Filed under: uncultured bacterium
Lineage: Bacteria
Description: partial 16S ribosomal RNA
Rfam family: Bacterial small subunit ribosomal RNA
Source: RNAcentral
UACGAAGGGGGCUAGCGUUGCUCGGAAUCACUGGGCGUAAAGCGCACGUAGGCGGCUUCUUAAGUCAGGGGUGAAAUCCUGGAGCUCAACUCCAGAACUGCCUUUGAUGCUGAGAAGCUUGAGUCCGGGAGAGGUGAGUGGAACUGCGAGUGUAGAGGUGAAAUUCGUAGAUAUUCGCAAGAACACCAGUGGCGAAGGCGGCUCACUGGCCCGGUACUGACGCUGAGGUGCGAAAGCGUGGGGAGCAAACAGG